GAUGAACGCUGGCGGCGUGCCUAACACAUGCAAGUCGAACGGAGUCGUCUUGGAAAUCUCUUCGGAGAUGGAAUUCUCGACUUAGUGGCGGACGGGUGAGUAACGCGUGAGCAAUCUGCCUUUAAGAGGGGGAUAACAGUCGGAAACGGCUGCUAAUACCGCAUAAAGCAUUAAAUUCGCAUGUUUUUGAUGCCAAAGGAGCAAUCCGCUUUUAGAUGAGCUCGCGUCUGAUUAGCUAGUUGGCGGGGUAACGGCCCACCAAGGCGACGAUCAGUAGCCGGACUGAGGGGGUGAACGGCCACAGUGGGACUGAGACACGGCCCAGUCUCCUGCGGGAGACAGCAGUGGGAAAUAUUACGCAAUGGGGAAAACCCUGGCGCAACAGCGCCGCGUGAUAGAAGGAGGCCUUCGGGGUGUAAAGAUCUUUAAUCAGAGGCGAAACAAAUGACGGUACCUGAAAAAUAAGCACCGGCUAACUACGUG
Molecule: ribosomal RNA, 483 nt
Filed under: uncultured bacterium
Lineage: Bacteria
Description: partial 16S ribosomal RNA
Rfam family: Bacterial small subunit ribosomal RNA
Source: RNAcentral